GAUGAAGAACGCAGCGAAAUGCGAUAAGUAAUGUGAAUUGCAGAAUUCAGUGAAUCAUCGAAUCUUUGAACGCACAUUGCGCCCCCUGGUAUUCCGGGGGGCAUGCCUGUCCGAGCGUCAUUACAACCCUCAAGCUCAGCUUGGUAUUGGGCCCCGCCGCUCCGGCGGGCCCUAAAGUCAGUGGCGGUGCCGUCCGGCUCCGAGCGUAGUAAUUCUUCUCGCUCUGGAGGUCCGGUCGUGUGCUCGCCAGCAACCCCCAAUUUUUUUCAGGUUGACCUCGGAUCAGGUGGGGAUACCCGCUGAACUUAAGCAUAUCAAUAAGCGGAGGA
RNAcentral lists this unclassified non-coding RNA (329 nucleotides) under soil metagenome. Its description in RNAcentral is "partial contains 5.8S ribosomal RNA, internal transcribed spacer 2, and large subunit ribosomal RNA". The stretch from base 1 to 120 matches the Rfam family "5.8S ribosomal RNA", at positions 35 to 154 of the family's 154-position model. The record is from RNAcentral.